GCGUCCGUAGCUCAAUUGGACAGAGCGGAUGGCUUCGGACCAUCAGGUUGCGGGUUCAAGUCCUGCCGGGCGCG
Molecule: transfer RNA, 74 nt
Filed under: Candidatus Roizmanbacteria bacterium
Lineage: Bacteria; Candidatus Roizmaniibacteriota
Description: tRNA-Arg
Rfam family: tRNA
About the family: Transfer RNA (tRNA) molecules are approximately 80 nucleotides in length. Their secondary structure includes four short double-helical elements and three loops (D, anti-codon, and T loops).
Source: RNAcentral